AUUAUUUGUUAGGGGAAAACAGAGUACAAAUGCUUUUGAUGCUUCAGUUGUUGCCAUCAGUCCAGAGUAUCCAGAAUUGG
Molecule: small RNA, 80 nt
Filed under: Arabidopsis thaliana (thale cress)
Lineage: Eukaryota; Viridiplantae; Streptophyta; Magnoliopsida; Brassicales; Brassicaceae
Description: ATSL160160
Source: RNAcentral